This 519-nucleotide long non-coding RNA is filed under the name Oryza brachyantha (malo sina). RNAcentral describes it as "long non-coding RNA (OBRA_LNC001771)". Lineage: Eukaryota; Viridiplantae; Streptophyta; Magnoliopsida; Poales; Poaceae. The record is from RNAcentral.
GCUAUAUGAUUUAUUCAACCAAAAGUUAUCACGUGUGUACAUAUAUAUUUUUGCAUGGUCCAUUUUUUUUCAAACAUCGCAUACAUGACACAGCAAAAGAUAAGCACGGUUCUUCAUUAGUGCUCAGCAUCUCAGUUCUGAGUUCCGAAACAUUUAUGUAUCCAUUACCUAUUCGGGAAAAAAAACAAUUACAACCAGUGUGUUGCUUAAAAUGAGAAUACAUUUGCCGUUAAUUUUGUAGAGUUGGAGCUGAAUUAAUAAUAAUAACAUGAAUAAUACACAGGACACGAGAAAGAGAGAGAGAGAGAGAGAGGGGGAUGGAGUAUUAGCAGCGUAGCGUAGUCAAAUUAAUCGAAAAAUCAGGACGGUUGGUUACGUGUCGUUUCACCAAUCUCAAAGCAGGCCAGGGUCUUCCCCUGCUGCUGCUCCCCUUUCCCCGGCCAGCCCCCGGCUCCCUCCGCCGCGGCCACCUCGACGUCGGCCGACGAGGUCAGCGCCUGGGCGCGGCGCGCCUGCGCC